AGUCUAGCAUGUGCGCGAGUCAUUGGGACUCAAUAAACCUAAAGGCGCAAUGAAAGUGAAAGUCUGUUUACGCGGACUUAGGGAGGAUAGGUGCGUACACGUUGUUUACAACCUCGCACUCCCGGGGCGUCUCGCACUCAUUGCGAGGUGGGGCGCACCAAGAGCGUACACGCUGGGACCCGAAAGAUGGUGAACUAUGCCUGGUCAGGACGAAGUCAGGGGAAACCCUGAUGGAGGUCCGUAGCGAUUCUGACGUGCAAAUCGAUCGUCGGAACUGGGCUUAGGGGCGAAAGACUAAUCGAACCAUCUAGUAGCUGGUUCCCACCGAAGUUUCCCUCAGGAUAGCUGGCACUAGAUUAUGGAUGAGUCUCAUCCGGUAAAGCGAAUGAUUAGAGGCAUUGGGGUCGAAACGGCCUCAACCUAUUCUCAAACUUUAAAUGGGUGAGAUCUCCGGCUUGCUCGAUUUAUGAAGCCGGAGAUCGGAUCAAUUAGUGCCAAGUGGGCCACUUUUGGUAAGCAGAACUGGCGCUGUGGGAUGAACCAAACGCAGAGUUAAAGCGCCAAAAUCGACGCUUAUGGGAUACCAUGAAAGGCGUUGGUAACUUAAGACAGCANGACGGUGGCCAUGGAAGUC
This 634-nucleotide ribosomal RNA is filed under the name Carabus baudii stecki. RNAcentral's name for it is "eukaryotic LSU rRNA". It matches the Rfam family "Eukaryotic large subunit ribosomal RNA", at positions 672 to 1262 of the family's 3401-position model. The record is from RNAcentral. Lineage: Eukaryota; Metazoa; Arthropoda; Insecta; Coleoptera; Carabidae.